RNAcentral lists this long non-coding RNA (1675 nucleotides) under Sus scrofa (pig). RNAcentral describes it as "lncRNA (ENSSSCG00055011947.1)". The record is from RNAcentral. Lineage: Eukaryota; Metazoa; Chordata; Mammalia; Artiodactyla; Suidae.
GUCCACACCUGCUGCAUAUGGAAGUUCCCAGGGUAGGGGUCAAAUCAGAGCUGUAGCUGCCAGCCUACAGCACAGCCACAGCAAUUCCCAGAUCUGAGCUGUGUCUGCGACCUACAUCACAACUCAGAAUUCUUAACCCACUGAGCAAGGCCAGGGAGUGAAUUCAUGUCCUCAUGGAUACUAGUCAGAUACAGCAUCAAAUGUGAAUUAUUUUGGCUUUUGGUUAUGUGAAUUCUUGAUGGGUAUUGUAAAACUUAAGUUAUCUUCUGAUGUUUUUAUAAAAGCCUCUUUAAUUCUCUCCUUUCCUACAAAAAAAAUGGGUUAAAAGGCUUUUCUUUGAUUUUUAAUAUGGUCGGAACUUUGAGAAACAUCUCAAUCAGUAGUUAAUAAAGAUAGAGACACAUGAAGCAACUGUUCCCACAAGAGCAAUUAUAGAUGAGAUUUCUUUGGGUCCUACAUGAACUCCUCUCUCACCCAGAGGGUUACCAAUCACAUGAGCACCAUGAGAAUCUACCAAACUCAGAUUGUUAUAUUUUUUGUCAAUUUAAGCUCCAUUUAUAGAAAGGCAAGAAUUGUAGUUUAAAAACGAAGCUGGCCCACAGGGAGGAUCUCUUCAACUGGAGAAGCCCUGUUUCAUCAUUACUUUCCACAGUCUUUGAAACUGGAAAAACUCAACAGGAGCUGCACAUGUUUGGUACAUUUUUUUUUCCUUCUAAGACCUUAACAAGAGCAGAAGGGAUUCUUUUAACAUGAACUUUAUCAUAACAAAUAAAGGAUUAAUAUGAGAGAAAGAAAACCACUUUGUGGAAUGAACAAUUCACAGUGUGUUUGUUCUGUAAUAUUUUUGGAAAGCCACCCUCCUACCAAGAAAUGUGCAACUAAACAAUGCACUGCUCACCUUUGGGCCAUACCUAACAUGAAGAGUAAGUAAUGUGCGGGUACCACUGCAGCCCCUUACAUGGGAUUGCCUCCUCACUGUGGCAUGUGUCACUUUAUCUAGAAGCAAUAGGACAAGGGGUUCUGCUGGGGUCUUCAUUCAGAUCCUUCCCAUCAUUAUAAUUCUAGGGCUCUAGUUUCUGUUGUUGUCUAUGAAUGCCUGGCUCUGUUGGGGUGUGAAAAUCCUCCAAGAUAACAGUGGAGCUUUCUCAGUCUCUGCAACUGCAUUUCUUCCAAUUCCAUCUGUAUGCCCUCCAUACCUCUAUUAACCAUAAUUCUUCACUUAUGUCAUUUUCAUAAGUCUUCUGAUUCCUCAUUGCUAUUGCCUAAAUCUUAGGAAGGUUUGUAACCACUGAAAGGCACCACAUCUUUUCAGCAUCUUGAAAUAUUUGCAAAUGCAAUUUCACAUCUGCAAUGGGUAGAGAUUUAUAAAUUUCUUCAAAUUAAGAUGAAAUAAAUGCAACUUCUGAGAUGAAAGCUCAAGGUCAUUUACCCCCAGGUUUUUCCUUUGAUCCAGUAGCACGGUCACUUCCUUCUUCACUCCUUCCCAAUACGGUAGUCACCCUCCCGUACAGUUGCAGAUAUUGAAAAAUUCUGAUACAAUAUUUUAAAAUUCAUAUAUAUUGCAAUUCUAUUCAUUAAAUAAAGCAAAGACUUCUUCUCUGUUAAGGCUAUCAGCUCAACCCCCAAAUAUGUAAUUUUGUUUUCCAAAGUGUUUAUUCAUACUACUGCUAAAGCA